GACGAACGCUGGCGGCGUGCUUAACACAUGCAAGUCGAACGGAAAGGCCCUGCUUGCAGGGUACUCGAGCGGCGAACGGGUGAGUAACACGUGGGUGAUCUGCCCUGCACUUCGGGAUAAGCCUGGGAAACUGGGUCUAAUACCGGAUAGGAGCCAUUUUUAGUGUGAUGGUUGGAAAGUUUUUUCGGUGUAGGAUGAGCUCGCGGCCUAUCAGCUUGUUGGUGGGGUAAUGGCCUACCAAGGCGGCGACGGGUAGCCGGCCUGAGAGGGUGGACGGCCACAUUGGGACUGGGAUACGGCCCAGACUCCUACGGGAGGCAGCAGUGGGGAAUAUUGCACAAUGGGCGCAAGCCUGAUGCAGCGACGCCGCGUGGGGGAUGACGGCCUUCGGGUUGUAAACUCCUUUCGCUAGGGACGAAGCUUUUUGUGACGGUACCUAGAUAAGAAGCACCGGCUAACUACGUG
RNAcentral lists this ribosomal RNA (465 nucleotides) under uncultured bacterium. RNAcentral describes it as "partial 16S ribosomal RNA". It matches the Rfam family "Bacterial small subunit ribosomal RNA", at positions 28 to 507 of the family's 1533-position model. The record is from RNAcentral.